RNAcentral lists this non-coding RNA (68 nucleotides) under unclassified sequences. The record is from RNAcentral.
UGCAGAGUGGGGCGGGUGGAUCCUGCCUUAAUGCACUCACCCUGACGGGUGAACGGUCACAAGUCCGU